AGUUAGCGGCGGACGGGUGAGUAACACGUGGGCAACCUGCCCUGUAGAUCGGGAUAACAUCGAGAAAUCGGUGCUAAUACCGGAUAAUUUCUAGAAUCUCAUGGUUCUAGAAUAAAAGAUGGCUCCGGCUAUCACUACGGGAUGGGCCCGCGGCGCAUUAGCUAGUUGGUAAGGUAACGGCUUACCAAGGCGACGAUGCGUAGCCGACCUGAGAGGGUGAUCGGCCACACUGGGACUGAGACACGGCCCAGACUCCUACGGGAGGCAGCAGUAGGGAAUCUUCCGCAAUGGACGAAAGUCUGACGGAGCAACGCCGCGUGAGUGAUGAAGGAUUUCGGUUCGUAAAGCUCUGUUGUUAGGGAAGAACAAGUGCCGUUCAAAUAGGGCGGCACCUUGACGGUACCUAACCAGAAAGCCACGGCUAACUACGUGCCAGCAGCCGCGGUAAUACGUAGGUGGCAAGCGUUGUCCGGAAUUAUUGGGCGUAAAGCGCGCGCAGGCGGUCUUUUAAGUCUGAUGUGAAAGCCCACGGCUCAACCGUGGAGGGUCAUUGGAAACUGGGAGACUUGAGUACAGAAGAGGAGAGUGGAAUUCCACGUGUAGCGGUGAAAUGCGUAGAUAUGUGGAGGAACACCAGUGGCGAAGGCGACUCUCUGGUCUGUAACUGACGCUGAGGCGCGAAAGCGUGGGGAGCAAACAGGAUUAGAUACCCUGGUAGUCCACGCCGUAAACGAUGAGUGCUAGGUGUUAGGGGUUUCGAUGCCCUUAGUGCCGAAGUUAACACAUUAAGCACUCCGCCUGGGGGAGUACGACCGCCAAGGUUGAAACUCAAAAGGAAUUGACGGGGGGCCCGCACCAAGCAGUGGGA
Molecule: ribosomal RNA, 868 nt
Filed under: Halalkalibacter alkalisediminis
Lineage: Bacteria; Bacillati; Bacillota; Bacilli; Caryophanales; Bacillaceae
Description: bacterial SSU rRNA
Rfam family: Bacterial small subunit ribosomal RNA
Source: RNAcentral